Molecule: small RNA, 2917 nt
Filed under: Pan troglodytes (chimpanzee)
Lineage: Eukaryota; Metazoa; Chordata; Mammalia; Primates; Hominidae
Description: processed transcript
Source: RNAcentral
GGAAGGGAGAGAAAUCACACACUUUGAUCUUCGCAAAAAGCAAGCCAUGGAAGACAGCUCUGUUCCUCACUGCCCCUGAGCUCCCUGCCGGCCACCUACUGCAGCUUCCGGCAGAUCUCAACCAGCAGCCUCCACGUCCUCACUUGAAGUCAUCCUCACCCAGGUUCACUCUGGGGAGGCCGCCCUUGGGCCUUUCUCUACGGCUGCAGCUGCCACUUGUCCAGCUGGUUUCUCUUCCUCACUCUACCAGGAAAUGCUUUCCUUAAACGCUUUCUGCAGGGCAGGGUCUCAUUUCCUCGGCUUGGAGAGUAGCUGGUGGGUGGGACCCAAGCUCUCACUUUCAUCCCCUUUCUGGGACAGCGCCCCGAAGGAGUGUGACUCACACAGCAGUGGAUGUGCUUGGUCUUGCAAAAUGUGAAGUGCGUCCUGGCUCUUCCUGCCCAAAGACGGGCCACAGAGUCUCCCCGUGCUCCCUUCCAACCUGUUCCCAUUGACUCCAACUUUCACCAUGCUGGACCUGAACCAGCCCGAAACAGUCUCCAGGGAAGCUAUGCACCAGGGAGAGGAGGCAAGUCCAAGGCCUUCCAGAUGGGGAAAGCAGCAGCAGCGGCAGUUGAGUGAUCAGACACUUGAGUCUCCCGGGACCCUGACACCGUCCUGGGAAUCACCUUCUUAUGUGGCCACACUGUGGACUGUCAACUAUACCUGCCUGGAUUAAACAAGCAUCUUUUGAGGACUUGCAACCUGGGAGGCAGGGAUUAUCACGUCCCCCAUUUUACAGACGAGGAGCACUGAGCCCCAGAGAAGUGCAGUGGCUUGCCCAAGUCCAUGUAAUUGAGGCUCCCACCUCCAUGUCCAGAGCAGAGGCCAACUCCAGCCAGACCCUUGGAAAUGCCACCAUGGAGAAAUACUUCCCUGCCCCCUUCACCUGGGUCACAGGCUACUUUGCCAUGGUGGUGGGCGCCAGCAUGACCUUUGUGGUCCAGAGCAGUUCUGUGUUCACCUCGGCCAUCACCCCACUCAUCGGUCUUGGUGUGAUCAGCAUUGAGAGGGCCUACCCGCUCACACUGGGUUCCAACAUCGGCACCACCACCACGGCCAUCCUGGCUGCCCUGGCCAGCCCCAGGGAGAAGCUGUCCAGCGCUUUCCAGGUGCGCUGGGAGUGUAGCCUCGCCUGGGGCAGGAUGGAGCUGCCUCUGGGGUGUGGGGCCUGACAAAGGUGUGACAACAUGGAACAAAUAUUUUGACUGCCUACUAAGGGCCACCUAAUAUGCUCAAUGAAACCAUUAUGGGCAAAGUAGACCCAAUACCACCCUCGAGACCUUAGCAUCUAAUAGGGAGACACUGCUCAUAAUUACACCAAUAAAUAGCAGUGAGUCGGAUUUGCACCAUAAGGAAGAGGAAGAGGAAGAGGCACUACAAAAGAGGGCCUGGAGCAGUUUGGGGAAUCCAUUGCGGGGGUCAAGGCCGCAAAUGGCAAAGGGGAAUUAUUCUAGGAGCAAAGGAGUAACUGACAAGCCAAGGCACUGACUGAAUGAGGGUCCAGAAACUGACAUCAAUCCUUUAGCUGCUGGAUUUUGGCAGUAUCUGCUGGGGGAUUCCUGUGCGAGGGGUCAGUGGGGAAAAUGUGGGGAGCUCAGGGCAGUAGUUAUUUACCAACUGGUCUAGAAGUAUUUCAAUAUUUGCAUAGCCAGCAUAGCCACCUCGGGGUGAUCUCGGGGCAGGGGGCACAUCACCCCUAAGUGGAAACUUUCCUGCUGCCCAGACCAGAUCGGGGUUCCUAUCAUCUACCCCUGCUGGCCUGACACAGGACCUGGGAGCCAGUGCCCAUCUCAGCCCCUCUGCCUCAUCCCCUGCAGAUUGCCCUCUGUCACUUCUUCUUCAACAUCUCGGGUAUCCUUCUGUGGUACCCGGUGCCCUGCACACGCCUGCCCAUCCACAUGGCCAAGGCGCUGGGGAAACGCACGGCCAAGUACCGCUGGUUUGCCGUCCUCUAUCUCCUUGUCUGCUUCCUGCUGCUGCCCUCACUGGUGUUUGGCAUCUCCAUGGCAGGCUGGCAGGUCAUGGUAGGUGUGGGCACGCCCUUCGGGGCCCUGCUGGCGUUCGUGGUGCUCAUCAAUGUCCUGCAGAGUCGGAGUCCCGGGCACCUGCCCAAGUGGUUACAGACAUGGGACUUCCUGCCUCGCUGGAUGCACUCCCUGAAGCCCCUGGACCACCUCAUCACCCGCGCCACCCUAUGCUGUGCCAGGCCUGAGCCCCGCUCACCCCCGCUGCCCCCCAGGGUCUUCCUGGAGGAGCUACCCCCUGCCACACCCUCCCCCCGUCUUGCACUGCCUGCUCACCACAAUGCCACCCGCCUCUAGGCAGUGGGCCCAGACUACAGCCUGGAAUGGGGAAGGCCUGGGGUGGAAAGGCAGGGGAGGGAGGGUGUGUGUAGGUAUGUGCAUGUGCCUGUGCCACCCUGGGUGCCAGUCUCUCCUUCUGUAGCUCCGCAAAGCUCUGGGCUUGUGUGAGAGUGUCGGUGUGUGUGCAUGUGUGGGGGUGAGUCUGCAUGUGCACCUGUCAUGUGUAGAAGCUUGUAUUUGUGUACAGGUGUGCCAGCCCAUGCACGUGUACACAGACACACCUGUGGGAGGCUGUGUGCAGGCUGCAGGAUAUCUGGGUAUGAUUUCAGGUCCUCUGCACGUGUACACAUGACUAGGAUAGGCAGGAGUGAGGGUGGGUCUGGGUAUAUGACUGUGCAGCUGUUUGUGCAUAGAUGUUGGUGCCUGCGUUACUGAAUUUGCACACCUCCUUGCCACUUUCCUUCCUCCAAGAUACCAUCUCCUCAUCCUAACCCAGGUCUUCAGCACCACCACAAUUAAUUCCCUUCCCAACACUUGCCUGAUGGAAAAAAAACAAAGGAAUUAAAACUCUC